This 367-nucleotide transfer-messenger RNA is filed under the name Candidatus Woesebacteria bacterium. It matches the Rfam family "transfer-messenger RNA". Rfam says of the family: Bacterial tmRNA, also known as 10Sa RNA or SsrA, is named for its dual tRNA and mRNA-like properties. Its role is to liberate the mRNA from a stalled ribosome. To accomplish this part of the tmRNA is used as a reading frame that ends in a translation stop signal. The record is from RNAcentral. Lineage: Bacteria; Candidatus Woeseibacteriota.
GGGGAUGACCGGUUUCGACGGGAAGCUCUUUAACAAAACAGCAAGCCAAGUUUGAUAAACACUUGUAAAAAGAUAUCAAAAAAUAAAAGCUGAUACACAAUAUCAAGCUUCAUUUAACUACGCAUACGCGUACGCUUAAUUGACGUCCUGACGUUUGGUUCUCGACUGAACUGACUGGGUGUAAACCAAUUCGAGAUGCUAACUAAUUUCUUUUGAUUUAGAGAAAUUUUUUAAAAGAUAAUUAAAUCUUACUUUAAAUUCCUGUUAGUUGGAUAAAUUUAAAGGAAAAAUUAUUAACUAAAUAAGCUUGUAGAAGUUUUGUUUUUAAGUUUUUCGGAUGAGGGUUCGAUUCCCUCCAUCUCCACCA